AAUAGAUACCCAGGUAGUCCACGCCGUAAACGAUGAGUGCUAAGUGUUAGGGGGGUUUUCCGCCCCUUAGUGCUGCAGCUAACGCAUUAAGCACUCCGCCUGGGGGAGUACGACCGCAAGGUUGAAACUCAAAGGAAUUGACGGGGGACCCGCACAAGCGGUGGAGCAUGUGGUUUAAUUCGAAGCAACGCGAAGAACCUUACCAAAUCUUGACAUCCUUUGACAACUCUAGAGAUAGAGCUUUCCCCUUCGGGGGACAAAGUGACAGGUGGUGCAUGGUUGUCGUCAGCUCGUGUCGUGAGAUGUUGGGUUAAGUCCCGCAACGAGCGCAACCCUUAAGCUUAGUUGCCAUCAUUAAGUUGGGCACUCUAAGUUGACUGCCGGUGACAAACCGGAGGAAGGUGGGGAUGACGUACAAAUCAUCAUGCCCCUUAUGAUUUGGGCUACACACGUGCUACAAUGGACAAUACAAAGGGCAGCGAAACCGCGAGGUCAAGCAAAUCCCAUAAAGUUGUUCUCAGUUCGGAUUGUAGUCUGCAACUCGACUA
Molecule: ribosomal RNA, 548 nt
Filed under: uncultured bacterium
Lineage: Bacteria
Description: bacterial SSU rRNA
Rfam family: Bacterial small subunit ribosomal RNA
Source: RNAcentral